Molecule: long non-coding RNA, 3549 nt
Organism: Esox lucius (northern pike)
Lineage: Eukaryota; Metazoa; Chordata; Actinopteri; Esociformes; Esocidae
Source: Ensembl
GUGCAGCUUCUGCAGUAAUGCAGUCGAUGUAUCGGUCUGUCGUGGUGAAGAAAGAGCUGAGCCGCAAGGCGAAGCUCUCGAUUUACCAGUCAAUCUACGUUCCUACUCUCACCUAUGGUCAUGAGCUUUGGGUCAUGACCGAAAGGACAAGAUCCCGGAUACAGGCGCCCGAAAUGAGCUUUCUCCGCAGGGUGGCCGGGCGAUCCCUUAGAGAUAGGGUGAGAAGCUCGGUCACCCGGGAGGAGCUCAGAGUAGAGCCGCUGCUCCUCCACAUCGAGAGGGGUCAGCUGAGGUGGCUUGGGCAUCUUUUUCGGAUGCCUCCGGAACGCCUUCCUGGGAAGGUGUUCCGGUCCCGUCCCACCGGGAAGAGACCCCGGGGAAGACCUAGGACACGCUGGAGGGACUAUGUCUCCCGGCUGGCCUGGGAACGCCUCGGUGUCCCCCCGGAAGAGCUAGAGGAAGUGUCUGGGGAGAGGGAAGUCUGGGCAUCCCUGCUUAGACUGCUGCCCCCGCGACCCGGCCCCGGAUAAGCGGAAGAAGAUGGAUGGAUGGAUGGGCACAUUUGUCCUACUUAUAAACAUAGAAUAGCAGGUAAAGCACUAGGGACGGAAAGCAAAUCAUAUUUCCAUGCAUGUCUUGCUGAGGCUAUAUACUACCAAAAUACACAGCUGUCAAUCAAAUUUGAAAGCUUUAGUAACUGCAGUAGUUACACAUUUUUGAUGACAUCACUUAAAGCACAUCUUCGAUCGCAUUUACAGAUGAAGGCAAGAGAGCUAGCCUACAUUCCCAACAGCAGAUGAAGGCAAGAGAGCUCGCCUACAUUCCCAUCAUUAAUUAGUGAAGUACAGUAUUGGGAAGCAUCUUACCCAAACUAUUUUUGGGGGGCAAAUAAUUCUUGCUGAGAGACACAGCCCCUGUGUCACCGGGUCUGUAUACAUGAUUAAAGGAAUAAAACAUAAAAGGCAACAAUACAUAAUAUAAUACAAUAGUUCAUAUAAUACAUAGAGGGACAGACUAAAAUGGAAAACACUUCAGACAACAACAAUUAUGUAAAAUCAAAGUAAUACAAUAAGAAGUUAAGAGAAAUUGAAUAAAACCAACAACAGAUUAAAACAGUAAGAGGAUGUUAAAAAUAAGUGGACUUGACAAAAACAAAGGGAUAACCUCAGACUGAACUAAAAGCAAGAUCAUUUGGUGGGUCUUUAAAUUUGAUUUAAAUUUGCAAUGGUGGAAUGGGACUUAAUGUGGGAUGGGAGACUAUUCCAGAGCAUGGGCGGAGCAACAGACAAAACUAUGCUACCCCAUGCUUCCUGGAGAGCGGGUUCUUCCUUCUUCCAAAUAUACCAAAUAGUUUAUUUUGAAAGACCAAACAUCUUGCCCAUGUCUCUGAUCUGAUGUUUUAAUCCUUAAUAUAAUUGAUGCAACUGUUCCUUACUCUUAUUUAUUCUAUUUCCAUUACGUUCAUGUUUCCAUUACGUUCAUGUACUUUGAAAAUGGUGCAUAAAAGAACAAAUUGGUGCAUAGAAAUUCACCAGAAUGCAGGGAAUUAAGCAUCUGACACCCUCAUUGGGGAGAACCCCGCAGACCCCGCUUCAUUUGUGUCCCCUGGGUUUGGGGCUGCUGGCAAGGUGUCCCUUAUUUUUCCACACUGAAGGAGGCAACCCUAAUCUAUCUCCACGGCACGACUGACUAGAUAACGAUAUGUUGUUGACUUGUACAUCUAGCUAGUGUUAGUGGUUAUACAAUUGUGCUCAGAAGUUUGCAUACCUUGGCAGAUAUUGUGCAAUUGGCAUUGAUUUAGAAAAUGACUGAUCAUGCAAAAAAAAAUCUCUUUUAUUUAGGGAUAGUGAUCAUAUGAAGCCAUUUAUUAUCACAGUUGUUUGGCUCCUUUUUAAAUCACAAUGAUAAGAAAAAUCCCCCAAAUGGCCCUGAUUGACAGUUGACAUACCCUUGAAUGUUUGGCCUUGUUACAGACACACACAGGUUAAAAUGACAAUUAAAGGUUAAUUUCCCACACUUGUGGCUUUUUCAAUUUAAAUUAGUGUCAAAAAAGGUCCUGGUGUGGCCAUCACAGUCUCCUGACCUUAAAAUCAUCGAGCCACUCUGGGGAGAUCUCAAAUGUGCGGUUCAUGCAGGACGACCAAAGACUUUGAAUGACCUGGAGGCAUUUUGCCAAGAAAAAUGGGCAGCCAUACUGCCUGUAAGAAUUCGGGGUAUCAUAGACAACUAUUACAAAAGACUGCACACUGUCAUUAAUGCACAUUAAGAACUAAGGGUAUGCAGACUUUUGAACAGGGGUCAUUCCAUUUUGUUCUUUAUUGCCAUGUUUUGUUUUAUGAUUGUGCCAUUGUUAUAACCUACAGUUGAAUAUGAAUCCCAUAAGAAAUAAAAUAAAUGUGUUUUGCCUGUUCACUUGCCAUGUUUUCUUUAAAAAUGUUACACAGUUUCUCACAAAAGUGAGUGCCUCCCUCACAUUUUUUGCAAAUAUUUGAUUAUCUUUUCAUGUGACAACACUGAAGAAAUGACCCUUUGCUACAAUGUAAAGUAGUGAGUGUACAGCUUGUAUAACAGUGUAAAUUUGCUGUCCCCUCAAAAUAACUCAACACACAGCCAUUAAUGUCUAAACCGCUGGCAACAAAAGUGAGUACUCCCCUAAGUGAAAAUGUCCAAAUCUGGUAAGGAUGCCCCCAGGACGUCUCCCUAGGGAGGUGUUCCAGGCACGUCCAGCUGGGAGGAGACCUCGGGGUAGGCCCAGGACUAGGAGGAGUGAUUAUAUUUUGACACUGGCCUGGGAACGCCUCGGGAUCCCCCAGUCAGAGCUGGCAAAUGUGGCUCAGGAAAGGGACGUUUGGGGUCCCCUGCUGCAGCUGCUGUCUCCGCAACCCGAUACCGGCAACAAUGCCCAGGGGUCAGAAAAGGGCAGCGCAAAUUGUUUUAGCGGUUCCCAGGAUGAACGGUUGGAUGUCAGUCAGGGCUGCCUUGUCUCGGUGUGCUCUCGUAACUCCUUGUGGUGGGUUGGGAAUCUCUAAGCUUAAUUGUGGCCUGGAGAAUGUUUGACUCCAGCACCUGUCAACAAGCAAAAAUCUGGAUGAGCGAGCAGUGUUGACUUUCCCAAACCUGCUGUGAAGCAAUGAAAAAGGGCCAUACACACAAUUUGGAAAUUGAAAGGGUACAAAAAUAGGUUAAUCUAUUGUGUAAGGGAUUUUAAAACAAAAUUAUCCAUACGCAGCAAAGCAUCUUAAAAAUGAUCACAACCAUGCCUUUAAUAUGGUUCAGUGUUAGUCAAACGUAACAUUACAAUACGUUCACUUUUGAUUAAUCUGUCCAUAGAACGUCCUUCCUGCAUGUCUUGACAAGUACUUUCAGGUGUAUUUAGGCAAACAUCAGUUGACAAUGGGUCCCAUAAUGUCUGGCAAAAAAAACAAACAUUGUGUAAGACCCAUUUUGGUAUUUUACGCUGUCUAGUUGUUUAUUUUGGGCUGUCACUAUUCACCACUAGAGGGCAGUGUCAUUGGGGUUAAGGGUUCGAUCAGGAGAGGGCAAACGUUU